Non-coding RNA from Phrynosoma platyrhinos (Desert horned lizard), 72 nucleotides. Lineage: Eukaryota; Metazoa; Chordata; Lepidosauria; Squamata; Phrynosomatidae. The record is from the annotation of a GenBank genome assembly.
UCCAGUGUGGUGUAGUGGUUUGGCCACUGGACUGCAACUCUGGAGAACAAGGUUUGAAUCCUUGCUCAGUGA